AGAUCCCUGAAAGAUGAUCAGGUUGAUAGGUCUGAGGUGGAAGCGUGGUGACACGUGCAGCUGACAGAUACUAAUCGAUCGAGGACUUAACCA
Molecule: ribosomal RNA, 93 nt
Filed under: Bacillus sp. OV322
Lineage: Bacteria; Bacillati; Bacillota; Bacilli; Caryophanales; Bacillaceae
Description: 23S rRNA. Bacterial LSU
Rfam family: Bacterial large subunit ribosomal RNA
Source: RNAcentral